UGUAGUUUGGUGUUAUUGGCAUUUUGCGUUUUGGUCGUAGAGGUACUUGUUGUUAGCUACAG
RNAcentral lists this transfer RNA (62 nucleotides) under Lyperosomum longicauda. RNAcentral's name for it is "tRNA-Gln". Lineage: Eukaryota; Metazoa; Platyhelminthes; Trematoda; Plagiorchiida; Dicrocoeliidae. The record is from RNAcentral.